Molecule: RNase P RNA, 379 nt
Filed under: uncultured Sporosarcina sp.
Lineage: Bacteria; Bacillati; Bacillota; Bacilli; Caryophanales; Caryophanaceae
Description: Bacterial RNase P class B
Rfam family: Bacterial RNase P class B
About the family: Ribonuclease P (RNase P) is a ubiquitous endoribonuclease, found in archaea, bacteria and eukarya as well as chloroplasts and mitochondria. Its best characterised activity is the generation of mature 5'-ends of tRNAs by cleaving the 5'-leader elements of precursor-tRNAs.
Source: RNAcentral
UCAGGUAAUCGCUGCAACUUCGGUUGUAGAGGAAAGUCCAUGCUCGCACGGUUCUGAGAUGACCGUAGUGUUCGUGCUCGGCGAAAAAAUAAGCCGGGGCAUUGCGCAAUGCGCUUUGACGGCGGGGAUAAAUCCUACGUUUGCUUCUGCAAAUAUGGAUGAGGUUCCCUGAAAAGUGCCACAGUGACGUAGCUGUUUUGGAAACGAAACAGAUGGAACGCGGUAAACCCCAUGAGCGAGAAACCCAAAUUAUGGUAGGGGCACUCUUCUGAAGGAAUUUAACUGAUGAAGGGACAGACAAUGUCUGUAGAUAGAUGAUUACCGCCCUAAGUACGAGGCGCAAGCCGUUUGAGUACACGGGAACAAAACAUGGCUUAUC